RNAcentral lists this ribosomal RNA (669 nucleotides) under Hyphalaster inermis. RNAcentral describes it as "partial 16S ribosomal RNA". It matches the Rfam family "Bacterial large subunit ribosomal RNA", at positions 1793 to 2646 of the family's 2925-position model. Lineage: Eukaryota; Metazoa; Echinodermata; Asteroidea; Paxillosida; Porcellanasteridae. The record is from RNAcentral.
GUUUCGCCCUGUUUACCAAAAACAUCGCUCCUUGGAAAGGUUUUCUAAUAUAUAAGGAGUUCUGCCUGCCCAGUGACAUAGUUAAACGGCCGCGGUAUUUUGACCGUGCAAAGGUAGCAUAAUCAUUUGCCUUUUAAAUGGAGGCUGGUAUGAAUGGCAAGACGGAAAUUUAGCUGUCUCUCUUUUAGAGCUUUAAAAUUAAUAUUUUUGUGAAGAAGCAGAAAUAAAAUCGUAGGACGAGAAGACCCUAUCGAGCUUAAGUAUAUGAUAUAGAUUUAUGUUAUGUCUUUUGUAUUAAUUACCCUUAUUUAGGGGAGUAUUUUUAUUAAAAGGAUGUGAAAUUUUAUAUCUUUUAUUUAGAUUGGGGCAAUCGCGGAAAAAAUAGAACUUCCGUUGUAUAUGUGAUUUAAAAAGUGACACCUUUAAGGCAUAUGUAAGUAAUAUUUUAAUGAUCCAUUUUUUAUAAGAGUGAGUAAAGGAAUAAGUUACCGUAGGGAUAACAGCGUAAUUCUUUUGGAGAGUUCAUAUUGAUAAAAGAGUUUGCGACCUCGAUGUUGGAUCGGGACUUCCGGGGGAUGCAGCAGUUCCUAAGGGUUGGUCUGUUCGACCAUUAAAGUCCUACGUGAUCUGAGUUCAGACCGGUGAAAGCCAGGUCAGUUUCUAUCUACG